Long non-coding RNA from Hevea brasiliensis (rubber tree), 7700 nucleotides. RefSeq lists it as uncharacterized. The record is from RefSeq and is a predicted model, not a curated record. The transcript is spliced from 2 exons. Lineage: Eukaryota; Viridiplantae; Streptophyta; Magnoliopsida; Malpighiales; Euphorbiaceae.
GUCAUAUAAUUUCAUAUGUUUCUGCUUCUUAUGAUUAAUUAAACUAGCCAAAUAAUAAGACAGGAAUAGAAAAAGAAUGCUGGGGUCUACCCACCACAAUAAUUAACAAGAAAGUAAACUGUUGUGGGAAAUAAAAAAAUAGCUAGCCAGAAGAAAUUGUGCACACUAGGGAAAGCAGGGGACAUGGAUAUGGCAGGAAAAUAAAAGUGAUAGAGACAUUGAACCAUCAUCUUUUGCAUUGCAGAAAAGAGAAGAGGAUGAGAUUGAGGCAAGUAGAUGAUGCUCUUACGUUAAAGGGCUUCAAUGAAUUAUAAUUGGCUCGUCUUUAUUACAUUUAUAGUGGAAGUUUGCAUGAUUGCUUGUCGACUCAUCUCAUCCCUUCACUUGUGUCGGGAUUUCUUAUUUCCCAAAAGAAAUUUAUAUACCGAAAUCAAAGCAUGAGUUACUCUUGUAAGUGGACAGCCGAACUGUGAAAGAUGGAGAUUUCAACCAGAAGGUUUCAAGUUUGAAUCUUCUGGAUAAGUAUGAUUAGUCAUUUUCAUGACAAGUGAUUAAUUGCCAAUUACUCUGUUUUCUCCUCUGCCUCUCCCCUGAGUUUAACCUUUGUAAUUGCCAACAGCUGUGUCUCUUUUCUUUACGCCCUGUUUCGGCUUAUUAUUGUACCAUGAUACGGUAAGCGGCUAGAUUGAAGUGACUAAAAUGCCCUCCAGUCUGUUGCUGUUACGUGCUAUCGUGUGUGGGCAAACAUGAGAAUUUAAUGGAGAUGUUUUCUGGGCGUGCUUUGGUCAUUUAAUUGGGUCUCACAGACGGAGAAAGCUACUAUCGGUCGUUUUCAGAGAGGAGACGAGCCAGAGAAAGAGUGAGAUGGAGCAAAUGGGGGAGUCAGAGUAGUAAGGAGUGAGAAGAAGGUACUUUCCAAGUGAUAAUGGUGUGGUGAGGGGGACGGCAUGUCGACGAUGACGGAAAGAAAGUAGAUUAGAUCAGAGAAAUCAAUUAGCGCUGGUAAGGCUCAUGCUUCGUCACCUUCAUUUAACCCGCAGAAAAGCCUUCCAAGGCAUUGUUUUUGCUUCAAAAAGCCAGAAAAUCUAGGUAGGAAAACAUGGUGAUGGAACCUUUGGAGGCUUGAUUUGCCUGAAUUGUGAUGUUUCCAGGUGCUUGACAGGCUGCAGAGUACUCCUCUUAAUGUCGCGCACCUCUGAGUACUCUUCAUUUAUUUUCCGGCCAUGGCGAAGGAAGCGGCUGGCAGUGGCAAAAGGCUUUAAGAUUUCUGAUUCUCCCAAGGGUAAGCCGAUUUCGCUUCAACUGUGAAAUUAAUAUUCAAUUGACGAUUUAAAAUGUCUGGACCUUGAGUUUCAACUUUUAUUUAUUAAAGAAUAGAUUUAAACUUCUGUGAGGUACAACAGAAAUAUGCAUGCAUAUAUUGAUUAAAUAGGAACUUCUGGUGUUUUAUUAUGUUUAUAUAUUUGCAGAUGGAAAAAUCAGGAUGGCCAUUAUUUGUUUUUUUUCUUUUUUUUUUUUUUCUUUCAUUGAACAUGCAAGCUCUUUUUUCCCCUCUCUUGUUUUGGUGCAUGGCAAAGAAGAGGCAUGGACAAGAAAAUAGAGGAGAAAAGAUUUAAAAAUGAGCAAAUAACAAGUAGAAGGUCAUGCUGCAUUUUCCAAGUGACAAUUUUGUGAAUUUAAUUUAAUUUAUAAUUUUUCCUCUGUUAAAGAGCCCAUUACAUAUGAGGCUCGAGUUCAAAUCCGGACCCGAGCAGCCAAUAAUAAUAACAAAACUACUUGGCAAGGUAUGAGAGAUGGUUUUUAGAUCCUAAACCACACAGAUAACCUUUUGUCUCGAAGUGGCAAGUAAUAUUUACGAGUAGUAGUGGGAAUUGCCUUUGGAGAAGUUGCUUUCUGUGUCUACUGCCUUAAGCUAAUGCGAAACAUAUGUCCAUCAAAUGGGAUCAGGCAUAUAUAAGGUUUGGGGUUGAGAAAGAGAUGAAGAGGGACAGCGUUUGAUUUUAUUUCUAAAUAGGUGAGUUCUGGCUUGAAUUUGGCUAUGUUCCUUUUCGGCGGGUAGUUCUUUGCCCUACUUGGUUUACUUUCUUCUUCUUUUUUAUUUAUUUAUUUAUUUUUAUUGUUCUUUGCUAUGCUCUCUGUUAAUAUAUUUUUGCUAAUAUAUGUCUCUAUUGUUAGACAUUUUGGUUUAGUUGAUCAAAACUUUUAAGUACAUGAGGUUGAUUUAUAUAUAUAAUGAAAGAUAUCAAUUUCAUUAUUGAAACACCAUCAAGGUGUAUACAAAUUCCAUUCAAGAAUAAAGAUUACAACAAAAUGAAGCAUCAUGAGGAACUUUAUAGUGUAGACCCUUAUUUUUGUGACCUUGUGAGUAUGUGCAUUAAGGCCAUGAGGAAUCCGAUGAUAAAAAAAUUGUAUGAUUGUGAGAUAUAUUUAAAAGUAUUAAAAAUGAAUAAUCAUAUGUAUAGUAUGUUUCUUGAGGAAAAUAAUUUUGAAGAGUAAGAAAAAGUGUUUAAUUAAAUUUAAAUAAAAUUUAUUUAUGUUUAAAUUUAAUUUUAGAAAUUUAUUUUAUUAAAAAAAACUAAUUGGACCUAAUUGGGCUCUUUAAGACCAAUAAGGCCCACUCGAGAAUUUUGAUUAAAUAAAUAAGGUCAGAAGAAAUAGUGUAGCUCGAACAAAGUGGUGGGAGUUCAAAGGAGUAAAGCAAGUGAAGUUCAAAAAUAAGCUUCUUGAGUCCAAAGUAUGGAAGUUGGAUAUGGAGGCCAAUGAUAUGUGGAUACAUAUGGCAUUAAAGAUUAGAGAAGUAGCUAGAAAAGUACUUGGAGAGUCUAAAGGACAUGGACCACUCUCAAAAGAGAGAUGGUGAUGGAAUGAGUUAGUACAAAAGGCAGUGAAGAGAAAAAGUGAAUGGUAUAAGAACUUACCUAAAUGUGAUAAUAAUGAGGCAUAUGAACAGUACAAGAUAAUAAAGAAAUAGGCAAAAAAGACAAUUAGUCAAGCAAGAGCACAGGCCUUUGAAAAGUUAUAUGAGAAACUUGGAACUAAAGAAGCGGAGAAAGAUAUUUAUAGAUUAGCAAGGAGGAGAGAAAGGAAAUGUCAAGAUCUCAAUCAAGUUAGGUGCAUUAAAGAUAGAGAAGGAAAAGUGUUGGUGAAAGAUGAGAACAUUAAAGAAAGAUGGAGAAAUUAUUUUAAUGAUCUCUUUAAUAAUAGUCAAAAUGGUAAUAGCGUGAAUAUAGACUAUAGAACAAUAGAAAAGAAUGUGAAUUAUACUAGAAGGAUUAGAUCUUUAUAAGUAAAUGAAGCACUUAAGAGAAUGAAAUUGGGUAAAGCCUGUGGACCCGAUGAAAUACCAAUUGAAGUGUAGAAGUGUUUGGGAACUAUGAGAGUGGCAUGGUUAACUAAAUUAUUUAAUAAGAUUCUAAACUUAAAGAAAAUGCCUGAUGAAUGGAGGAGUAUUUUAGUACCCAUUUUUAAAAAUAAGGGAGACAUACAGAGUUGCUCAAACUAUCGAAGAAUUAAACUCAUGAGCCAUACUAUGAAGUUGUGGGAGAGAGUUGUGGAGCAUCGACUACGUCAUGAUACUUCUAUCUCUCUCAAUCAACUUGGUUUCAUGCUCGGUCGUUCAACUAUAGAAGCGAUCUUUCUCGUUAGAAGCUUGAUGGAGAAAUAUAGAGAUGUGAAGAAAGAUCUACACAUGGUUUUUAUUGAUUUGGAGAAGGCUUAUGAUAGUGUUCCAAGAGAUGUCUUAUGGAAUGUGUUAGAAUAAAAGAGGGUAUCUAUUAGGUAUAUACAAGUGUUGAAAGAUAUGUAUAAAGGAGCAACUACUAUUGUGCGCACAGUGGGAAGGGACACAAGAGAUUUGCCGAUCUCAAUUGGAUUACACCAAGGAUCAGCCAUAAGCCCUUACCUUUUUAUAUUAGUUUUAGAUGAAUUGACGAAACAUAUACAAGAGAGUAUUCCUUGGUGCAUGAUGCUUGCGGAUGAUAUUGUUCUGAUAGAUGAGACACAAGAAGGAGUCAAUAGAAAGCUAAAGUUUUGGAGAAGUACUCUAGAGUCAAAGGGUUUUAAGUUAAGUAGAACAAAGACAGAAUACAUGCAUUGCAAGUUCAGUGAAGGCCAAACUGGUGAUAGGGAAGGAGUUAGUUUGAAUGGAGUGGUACUGUCCUAAAGUAAUCACUUUAAAUAUCUAGGCUCAGUCCUUCAAGUAGAUGGGGGAUGUGAGGAGGAUGUUAGUCAUAGGAUUAAAGCCGGUUGGUUGAAGUGGAGACGUGCCACGGGAGUUUUAUGCGAUCAUAAGAUUCCCAAUAAGUUGAAAGGAAAAUUUUACCGUACAGCCAUACGACUGACUAUGUUAUAUGGUAGUGAGUGUUGAGCACUGAAAGAGUCGUAUACGUCUAAAAUAAGAGUUGCAGAGAUGAGAAUGUUAAGGUGGAUGAGUGGCCAUACUAGACUAGAUAAAGUCCGUAAUGAGAGUAUUAGAGAAAAGGUAGGAGUGGUGCCAAUUGAAGAUAAGUUGAGAGAAGGGAGAUUGAGGUGGUUUAGUCAUGUGAAGCGUAGACAUACGGAAGCUCUAAUUAGACAAGGAGAGCACAUUAGGUUAGAGGAUAGAAAGAAAAAAAGGGGUAGACCUAAAUUGACUUGGAGGAGAGUAGUACAACAUGACCUAGAAGCAUUACACAUUUCUAAGGAUUUAACCCAAAAUCGUUUAGAGUGGAGAAAGCGAAUUCAUAUAGCCGACCCCAAAUUUUUGGGAUAAAGGUUUAGUUGAGUUGAGUUGAGUUGUGUAGUGUUUUAACCUAAAUCCUAUAAAUACUUCAUACAAAAGAAGAAAAAAAGGAGAGAGAGAGAGAGAGGAAGAGGAAGAGAGAGAGAGAGAGAGAGAGGGGGAGAGGGGAGGAGAGAACAACACAACGCAUAAAAAAACUCUCACUCCAUCUCUAUCUUUCUUUCUUCUUUUUUCUGUCUUCCUUUUUCUUCAAGGAAGCUUUAAGAUUUCUUUAAAAUAUAUGCUCUAAAUUAUGAAUAUUCAAGAAAUAUGCCAUACAUCUAUACUUUUAUAUUUAUGUGCCUUUAGAUGGUCUCAUAUACUUAUAACAUUUAUGUAUAUGUGAAAAUUUUGAAAGUGAUAAGAAUUCUACAUAUAUUUAGUUUUCUAUCUCCCACUUUUUUAUUACUUUUUGUUAUUUUUUGAAUCUGUAAAAAUUUUAGAAAAAUUAUAUUUAUAUUCUACACAAAAUUUUAUUAAUUUCAGGCUCAAAAAUCACUGAAUUUUUUUUUGCAUUUUGCAAGUUAUAACUGUUUGACGUUAGGGUUCUUGCAAAAUCCAAUUUGUAGGAUACCCGACAUGUGAAGCCCAUAUCUCCCUUGUUUUCUAAUAUUUUUGCACGAAUCUAGUAUCUAAAAUUAAGUUCAAAAUAUAAUGACUCUUUUUCAAUUAGUUUCGCAUUCAUAUCUAUUGUAGUCGAUGAGUUAUGAAUUUUAUAAAAAAGUAGUGCGAUUCUGUCACUGGGAAAAGUUAUGAUUUGUGUAGACUAUUCUGCUAGGGUUUUGUUUGGUCUAUAAAUUUUAUGAUCUUGUAUGAUGUUUCGCUGUUGUCUGUAAUUUUUUCAUGAUUUUUAGACAUGUCUAAUUAUUUUUUAAAAAUCAGAUUUCUUACUGCUGUCAAUCUAUCAAGAUAUGUGAAUUGUAUGUUUAUGCAUGUUCUUGUGUGUUUUUAAGUUUCAAUUGAUAUUUAAUCUAUUUUUCUGUGUUCUUUUAAUUCGAGAAGUGUUAUGAAGUGUUUGGAUUAUGUUAGAAGACUUGGCCCCUUAGGUAGUUAUAACUAAUAAGGAAUUUUAACCUUUUAGAAAACUAGAGUUAAAAUCCAAUGUGAAUUGUUAUUAGUAUUUUUUCUUAUUUUCUUACUUCCUUUAUUUUCUUUAGUUUUUUUUUUUUAUUACAAACAAAAUUGGUAAGUAGCCUUAAGGUAAAUACCAAAUAGGGCAUUUGUGUGGAGCUUAUGUGGAGCUAAACGGGAGUAAGCCACGGAUAUCAUUGCUAUAGUAGAAGAGAAAUUCCUUUUUUAAGGGUAGCUUACCCUAAUGACAACUACAAUUACUGGCAAGUAAGUAGUCCUAAAUUUAUAGAAUAACCAUUGACAUGAAAUUGUAGUAAUAAUAUGAUUUUUAUUUGAUAAAUUAAAAUUAACUUUGUUUUUAACUUAACCAACUUUUGCAUAUAACUAAUUUAAAUAAAUAUUUAAUAAAUUAAAAUUAUUCUUGUUUGUAAAUUAAAUUAAUCUUAGCAUAUAAAAUAAAUUUAAUUUAAUACUUGAUAAUUGUAAAAUAAAUUAGCAUGUUAGAAAUCUUUAUCAGAUUGUAAUUGUUUGGGCCUUAUGUGAUAUUAGAAUAAACUAUACAUGUACAUAAUUAACUUAGUUUAAUUAUCUUUAGGGUAAUUUGGUGAAAAAUUAAUUAAUUAGGUUAAAUAGAAACUUAGGGUUGUUUAAAAUUGAAUUUAUUUGUAAAAUAAAUUUAGUCAUCCAGUAAAUAUCAUUUAAAUAAUUAGUAACCCUAUAGAUAUGAAACUAUAGAUAUGAAACUGUUUGUAAACAACAACCCUUUUAUGAAUUACUUGUAUGUGUAUGAUUAGAAUUACAUUUUUAGGAUAAAGUGUAAUAAAAGAAUAAUAAACAAAACUUCUAGAAACAUUAGUAGUGGACUGGCGCUCGAAUUAACGAGGUUAGAUCUACUGUAAGGGCUGUCUAACACUUUUCCCUUACGUAUUCACUAUUCUGAACCUAGACAUUGAGUUAUGAUAUGAGUCUCCUUCCACAAUGAUAUGCGAGAAACCUGUUGUACAAGCAAGCCGUGUUGCUUCUUUGCAAGCAAUGCUUUUGAGAAUAAGUGGUUCCCGAAUGGAGGGCCAAAUGCUGCAGCAAUUACAGUUUUGAACCACUACUGCAAUAGCACCUCUAUUGUGGAUAUGGUCCACAGCAGCAUCAAAGUUUAGUUUGAUAAAAUUCAUUGGAGGAGGGGACCAGAAUAGCUCUUGAGAUUGAUGAUUCUCAACUGUUCAUCUGAUGGAGAGAUGGCCAAAUGGAAAUCUUCUUGAUUUUUAAAGCCAAAUCGAUAACUUCUCAGAAAUUCAUAGCGUGCUGGUUAAAGAUAAGUGCAUUCCUACACUUCCAAAUCUGCCAGAGAAGGAAAGCCACUAGUUGCAAUAAUUCUGAACGAUUAGAAGCUUGCUUAAGAAUACCUUCCAGUUCUUCUAGCCAACAAUUUAUCAUUUUAGAAUGAGCAAUCAGAGAUGAGUGCAGCUGGAGGCUUGAGUGCAGCCAAAUGGACAUAGCUUUCGGGCAAGAAAAGAAAAGGUGGUGUAAAGUUUCUCUUUGACCACAAAAGUUGCAUUCCGGAGCCACAUGGGGACACGCCUGUGCAAUAAGUCAUUACAUGGAAGUCUCUUAUUGAAGAUGCUCAAAAGGAAGAUUUUAAUUUUGUUGGGCAAUUGAAGCUUCCAAAAAGCCUUCCAAAAGGCAGAGUUUUAAAGUAUCGGAGCUAGGAUCAGGUCGCCCGUCAUUGGAAGAGAUAUAACUCAAAUUUGAAUAUGUCUAUAUUUAAGACUGUUGAUUGCAAUUAUAAUUAUAGUGAUGCAUGUUUAUCAAAUAGUUAUAUUUUUUUAACUGACAUAAAUAUGUGAUUAAUAGCUGUCAAAAUUGAUCUUCUGAA